UUUGCUACUCAAUUUCUAUAUUUGCCUGGUUUUACGAUUUUAAAUCGUAGUUUCAUUAUGCCCUACAUUGUUGUGCUGUAUUGACACUGUAAUCACAUAGUUAAUACUGUUAAAAGUCCAGUUAUGAAUGACAAGACAUGGAGCAAUGAUUUGUUGCUUUUUUUGUUUAUAAAACAAUAAGGUUCAUUCAUGAUAAUUAUUUCAUGUGUAUUGUUCACAUAUAGUGCCUUGCAGAAGAAGAACACUUGCAUUAGUUCUCCUACUUGAAGGACUGCAGAGGAGGGGUAGAGGGCGAAGGAGCCGAUUCUGGGUUCAUCCCCUCAACCAGAAAAGAAGACAACAAGGCGAUUUUCACCAUCUGGUGGCUGAACUGAGGCUGGACAGUCAACGCCACCAUCAGUAUUUCCGAAUGAGUGCAGAGCAAAUGGACGAACUUCUAUCCCUCAUCGGCCCUGAAGUGACCAGGCAAAGCACAAACUACAGAGCUGCCAUAGAACCUAAGCAGAGACUGGCUGUAGCACUAAGGUAAGCCACAAACAAAUGAAAUCACAGACCACAAGCUGAAGAAACAUUUUUUAAUACGGUUUCAACAUAUAAACGUUAUAAAUAAAUAUAUAAAGUGAAAAAAGAUUUUCAAAAACAAGAAUAAAAACUUAAAAAUAGUAACAAAUGUAAAGAAAACUGGCAAACAAGCAACGCUUGUACUACGUGUAGUAUGGGUCGUUCGGGUCUUCCCAGUCAGGACUCAUUUGUGUGAACGACUCUGUUUGUGUGGGGGGGUGAAUUGGUUGAAUAGGAGAAGGCAACUGUGUUGGGGGAGGAGGAGGUUGAGAUUGUGGGGGUCGGGAUGUUUGUCCCAGAGCGGGGGGAGGUAAAGGUGGAGGUUGGCCACUUUCGAGGUGGUGAAGAACAGUGAGGAUCUCCAUUUUGGCCUGUUGCCGACUGUCCUUGUUUAAGCGGUGCAACAUUGGCACAAUGCUCAUCGCAAAAUGAUAUGCCUCGUCCAGCUCGUCAUCGGGUAUAUGGGGUUUUGGCACCGGCUGCUCCAGCAAAGACAUCAGCCGGUCCCCAAUGCCUGUGUCUAUCGGUCUUUGGCCUCUUCUGGUUUCCCUGGGGGCCUGCGCUGCAACAGCCGGCCUUGAAAUAUUUCUGUCCCUGGGGUUCCGGGACCUAGAGGCAGACAGUGCUGAGGUUGAUGGAGCCGGAGAUGUCGAAGGCUGUUGCAAUGAAAUGCCAGGGGUGCUGGACCGACCCUCAGACCGGUCUGACUGAGGGGUACAUGGCUUCUGGAGAUUCACUAGUGAGUCUGGCAUAUAGCUACCGCCUGGGGCACACUACUGUAAGGAACUCAGUCCACAUGGUGUGUGCUGCCGUUGAAAAAAUGAUGAUGGAGAGGUUCCUACCCAGGCCAACACAAGAGACAUGGGAGGAAGUGGCUCAAGGCUUCUGGGAGAAGUGGAAUUUUCCAAACUGUCUGGGAGCAAUAGAUGGGAAGCAUGUGACCAUCCAAGCCCCAAGAAUGGGAGUCAGUAUUUCAAUUACAAGAAAACUUUCUCAAUAGUGCUUUUGGCACUUGUGGACUCGAACUACAGGUUCAGGGUCAUUCAAGUGGGGGACUUCGGAAGGACCAGUGAUGGCGGCGUAUAUGCUGGGUCAGCUCUCGGAAGAGGAAUGGAGACCAAAACGAUUCAUGUCCCACCCAGUACCUCUCUGCCUGGCGCUGCUCACUUGGGUGAUGUGUCACAUGUCAUGGUGGGUGAUGAAACCUUCCCACUGAAGCCAUACCUAAUGAGACCAUACCCCGGACAGAACCUCACUCACCAAAAGAGGAUAUUUAACUACAGACUUUCAAGGGCAAGGAUGGUGGUUGAGAAUGCUUUUGGCAUUCUGUCCUCCAGGUGGAGAAUCUUGCAUCGCAGGAUCAACCUGCACCCACAAAAUGUGGACACCCUUGUUUUCGCUGCAUGCAUUCUCCAUAACUUCCUGCUUUUCCCGAGAGAGAAUGUGAGGUUGCUGGAGGAGGCAGAGCAAUAGGGGAGAAACCUGCCAUCAGUACGCCACAUGGGAGGAAACAGAGCCUCGAGAGAGGCCUGUAAUGUGAGGGAAAUCUUCGACACCUAUUUCAACUCCCCACAAGGCAGUGUGUCUUGGCAGGACAGGAUGGUUUGAAAGUUUUGCCAAAAGUGUGGAAAAUGUCUAUAUUUGUAAAUAGAUGUUUUUUUGUUUUGUUUUUUCAUGCUCAUUACAGAUGAGAUAAUCUUUGUUGUAUUCUAAAAAUGUUAUCAUUCAUUGUAAAUAAAACAUUUGACAA
Gadus macrocephalus (Pacific cod) is the source of this 2311-nucleotide long non-coding RNA. RefSeq lists it as uncharacterized. The transcript has 2 exons. Lineage: Eukaryota; Metazoa; Chordata; Actinopteri; Gadiformes; Gadidae. The record is from RefSeq and is a predicted model, not a curated record.